RNAcentral lists this ribosomal RNA (416 nucleotides) under uncultured bacterium. RNAcentral describes it as "bacterial SSU rRNA". It matches the Rfam family "Bacterial small subunit ribosomal RNA", at positions 355 to 770 of the family's 1533-position model. The record is from RNAcentral.
UAAGGAAUAUUGCUCAAUGGGAGAAAUCCUGAAGCAGCAACGCCGCGUGGAGGAUGAAGGGUCUAUGACUUGUAAACUCCUGUAAAGAAGGAAAAAAUUCCCAUUAGAUGGGAGAUGAUGGUACUUCUGGAGUAAGCCCCGGCUAACUACGUGCCAGCAGCCGCGGUAAUACGUAGGGGGCAAGCGUUGUCCGGAUUUACUGGGUGUAAAGGGUGCUCAGGCGGAUUUGUAAGUCAGAGGUGAAAUCUUACAGCUUAACUGUGAAACUGCCUUUGAUACUGCAAGCCUAGAGUAUGGAAGAGAGUGAUGGAAUAUCUGGUGUAGCAGUGAAAUGCGUAGAUAUCAGAUAGAACACCAAUGGCGAAGGCAGUCACUUGGUCCAUUACUGACGCUAAAGCACGAAAGCGUGGGUAGCA